CUACGGGGGGCACCAGUGAGGAAUAUUGCACAAUGGGGGGAACCCUGAUGCAGCAACGCCGCGUGGAGGAUGACGCCUUUCGGUGUGUAAACUCCUUUUAUAUGUCAAGAAAAUGACGGUAGCAUAUGAAUAAGCACCGGCAACUCCGGCCAGCAGCCGCGGUAAUACGGAGGGUGCAAGCGUUACUCGGAAUCACUGGGCGUAAAGGACGCGUAGGCGGGCUUGUAAGUCAGGUGUGAAAUCCUACAGCUUAACUGUAGAACUGCACUUGAAACUACGAGCCUAGAGUAUGGGAGGGGGAGAUGGAAUUAGUGGUGUAGGGGUAAAAUCCGUAGAUAUCACUAGGAAUACCUAAAGCGAAGGCGAUCUCCUGGAACAUAACUGACGCUAAGGCGUGAAAGCGUGGGGAGCAAACAGGAUUAGAUACCCCAGUAGUC
This 437-nucleotide ribosomal RNA is filed under the name uncultured bacterium. Its description in RNAcentral is "partial 16S ribosomal RNA". It matches the Rfam family "Bacterial small subunit ribosomal RNA", at positions 339 to 795 of the family's 1533-position model. The record is from RNAcentral.